Molecule: RNA transcript, 1337 nt
Organism: Zingiber officinale
Lineage: Eukaryota; Viridiplantae; Streptophyta; Magnoliopsida; Zingiberales; Zingiberaceae
Exons: 2
Source: RefSeq, a predicted model, not a curated record
UUGGACACGCACGUUAGUGUUCUUUGCAACUGCCCAUGUGACCUACCACUUGGUGACCUCGUGAGCACAUGCAUCUGCAUCAUUUCCCAUCUAUUUAAUUCACCCUCGAUCCCUUUUUGUCGCCUCCUUGCCGUCCUCCUCUUCAAUUCGCAUUUCCCUUCUCCUCCUCCAAUUCCAAAUCCAACCCCAAACUCCUCCCCUGCAAAUUACAAGAGAUAAAUUAAGAGACAUAUACAUGGGCAACGCCAUAGGCGCCAAGAAGAAGUCCGCGAAGGUGAUGAAGAUAGACGGCACGACCUUCAAGGUAAAACCACUCGUCCUGGCCAUGAAGCUGCUCCGCGACCAUCCCGGUCACGACCUCCUCGAAUCCGACGACGUCAAGUGCCACGGCGUACGCGCUAGGCCCCUCCACCCCACCGCCCCACUCAAGCCUGGCAAACUCUACUUCCUAGUGGAGCUUCCCCUCCGGCUACAGCGCAGAGCCUGGUCGGGGAAUCUCCAGGUAAGCGCCAAGGAGCGGCUGGAGAGCCUCAAGAUCAUCCGCCGCUCCAUGUCAGAUAUGUCGCUGGCCAACGAGGCCUCUGCCUACGCCACCGCCGGUGAUGUCGAGGAGACUAAGGGCGGAGGCGUGCGCAUGCGGGUGAGGCUGCCGAAAGUGCUGGUGGAGAAGCUGAUGCAGGAGAGCAAGGACGCGACUGAGGCGGCAGAGAAGAUCAUGAAGCUUUGCGCCGAGAAGGACUGCGGCGCCACCAGGGCGGUUCACCAGACUCUAUCCUCCGUCAAAUCAGCCCAGCAGGAGGUACAAUUCAAAAUCUUGACUUAAUCUGUGCCAAUUUUCAUUUACGUAACGACCACAUGACUUCCGAUUUUGAAUAGUCAUCUCCAUUAACUAAAUGGAGAACAAUUACCGACUCCACAUGGCCACGAGAACCCUUACUCGUGACUCUCACUUUGUCUUCAUAGAAGCACGCAAGGUUUGCUCUCGCGCCAGACGAGAUCAUUGGAUGAUAAAUCUGUUGAGAGACACAAUUAGUUUUUAACUCACAUACAUCAAGCAGUGAAGAGAGAUUUGAGGACGAGAAGGAUUGUUGGCGGUGGUGAUACGGUGCGGGUGGAACGUGAGAAGCUGCUGAACAUGGCUUCCUGUUGCCCGUCAAGCUUUCUAUCUUAAUUGUGUUGCUUCUUACCUGCAAACAUAAUUUAUCCUCCAUGUCAUGUAUGGACGGAAGGAUGGAUGGAUGUGGGGUUUUGUUUAUGGUACUGUAAAUCCAGGGCAUCGAUCUCUUAUCUCGGUUGUUAAUUUUCCUUAUUGAUAGUGAUGCCUCUGUUCUUCUUUA